This 507-nucleotide ribosomal RNA is filed under the name uncultured bacterium. Its description in RNAcentral is "bacterial SSU rRNA". It matches the Rfam family "Bacterial small subunit ribosomal RNA", at positions 21 to 518 of the family's 1533-position model. The record is from RNAcentral.
GGCUCAGGAUGAACGCUAGCUACAGGCUUAACACAUGCAAGUCGAGGGGCAGCAUGAAGUUGCUGCAAACUUGAUGGCGACCGGCGCACGGGUGAGUAACGCGUAUCCAACCUGGCCCGCAGUAGGGAACAGCCCGGCGAAAGUCGGAUUAAUGCCCUAUGUCUUCCUUUGCAGGCAUCCAAUGAGGAAGAAAGAUUUAUCGCUGCGGGAUGGGGAUGCGUCUGAUUAGCUUGUCGGCGGGGUAACGGCCCACCGAGGCUACGAUCAGUAGGGGUUCUGAGAGGAAGGUCCCCCACACUGGUACUGAGACACGGACCAGACUCCUACGGGAGGCAGCAGUGAGGAAUAUUGGUCAAUGGGCGAGAGCCUGAACCAGCCAAGUAGCGUGCAGGAACCGACUGCCCUAUGGGUUGUAAACUGCUUUUAUGCGGGGAUAAACUUCAGCACGUGUGCUGUUUUGCAGGUACCGCAUGAAUAAGGACCGGCUAAUUCCGUGCCAGCAGCCGC